GGGUUGUGAGGUUAAGCGACUAAGCGUACACGGUGGAUGCCCUGGCAGUCAGAGGCGAUGAAGGACGUGCUAAUCUGCGAUAAGCGCCGGUAAGGUGAUAUGAACCGUUAUAACCGGCGAUACCCGAAUGGGGAAACCCAGUG
This 143-nucleotide ribosomal RNA is filed under the name Salmonella enterica subsp. enterica serovar Kentucky. RNAcentral describes it as "partial 23S ribosomal RNA". It matches the Rfam family "Bacterial large subunit ribosomal RNA", at positions 1 to 133 of the family's 2925-position model. Lineage: Bacteria; Pseudomonadati; Pseudomonadota; Gammaproteobacteria; Enterobacterales; Enterobacteriaceae. RNAcentral also lists the same sequence under 2 other names. The record is from RNAcentral.